Molecule: ribosomal RNA, 751 nt
Filed under: uncultured bacterium
Lineage: Bacteria
Description: bacterial SSU rRNA
Rfam family: Bacterial small subunit ribosomal RNA
Source: RNAcentral
ACGCUGGCGGCAGGCCUAACACAUGCAAGUCGAGCGGUAGCACAGGAGAGCUUGCUCUCUGGGUGACGAGCGGCGGACGGGUGAGUAAUGUCUGGGAAACUGCCUGAUGGAGGGGGAUAACUACUGGAAACGGUAGCUAAUACCGCAUGACCUCGCAAGAGCAAAGUGGGGGACCUUCGGGCCUCACGCCAUCGGAUGUGCCCAGAUGGGAUUAGCUAGUAGGUGGGGUAAUGGCUCACCUAGGCGACGAUCCCUAGCUGGUCUGAGAGGAUGACCAGCCACACUGGAACUGAGACACGGUCCAGACUCCUACGGGAGGCAGCAGUGGGGAAUAUUGCACAAUGGGCGCAAGCCUGAUGCAGCCAUGCCGCGUGUGUGAAGAAGGCCUUAGGGUUGUAAAGCACUUUCAGCGAGGAGGAAGGCGUUGUAGUUAAUAGCUGCAGCGAUUGACGUUACUCGCAGAAGAAGCACCGGCUAACUCCGUGCCAGCAGCCGCGGUAAUACGGAGGGUGCAAGCGUUAAUCGGAAUUACUGGGCGUAAAGCGCACGCAGGCGGUUUGUUAAGUCAGAUGUGAAAUCCCCGAGCUUAACUUGGGAACUGCAUUUGAAACUGGCAAGCUAGAGUCUUGUAGAGGGGGGUAGAAUUCCAGGUGUAGCGGUGAAAUGCGUAGAGAUCUGGAGGAAUACCGGUGGCGAAGGCGGCCCCCUGGACAAAGACUGACGCUCAGGUGCGAAAGCGAGGGGAGCAAAC